This 472-nucleotide ribosomal RNA is filed under the name uncultured bacterium. Its description in RNAcentral is "partial 16S ribosomal RNA". It matches the Rfam family "Bacterial small subunit ribosomal RNA", at positions 28 to 507 of the family's 1533-position model. The record is from RNAcentral.
GACGAACGCUGGCGGCGUGCUUAACACAUGCAAGUCGAACGCUGGCGCUUGGUGCUUGCUCUGGGUGGAUGAGUGGCGAACGGGUGAGUCAUACGUAAGUACCCUGCCCUUGACGCUGGGAUAAGCCUGGGCAACUUGGUCCAAUACACGAUCUGACAUGCAACUGCAUGGUUGUGUGUGGAAAGGGUUUUACUGGUUUUGGAUGGGCUCACGGCCUAUCAGCUUGUUGGUGGGGUAAUGGCCUACCAAGGCGACGCUGGGUAGCCGGCCUGAGAGGGUGACCGACGACACUGGGACUGAGACACGGCACAGACUCCUACGUGAGGCAGCAGUGGGGAAUAUUGCACAAUGGGCGGAAGCCUGAUGCAGCGACGCCGCGUGAGGGAAAACGGCCUUCGGGUGGUAAACCUCUUUCAGCACGGAAGAAGCGAGAGUGACGGUACGUGCAGAAGAAGCGCCGGCUAACUACGUG